RNAcentral lists this transfer RNA (73 nucleotides) under Bos taurus (domestic cattle). It matches the Rfam family "tRNA". Rfam says of the family: Transfer RNA (tRNA) molecules are approximately 80 nucleotides in length. Their secondary structure includes four short double-helical elements and three loops (D, anti-codon, and T loops). Lineage: Eukaryota; Metazoa; Chordata; Mammalia; Artiodactyla; Bovidae. The record is from Rfam by way of RNAcentral. RNAcentral also lists the same sequence under 4 other names.
UUCCUGGUGGUUCAGAGGUGAGGACUCUGAGUUUCCACUGCAGAGGGCACAGGUUCAAUCCCUGGUCAGAAAC